Molecule: ribosomal RNA, 1456 nt
Filed under: Penicillium chrysogenum
Lineage: Eukaryota; Fungi; Ascomycota; Eurotiomycetes; Eurotiales; Aspergillaceae
Description: SSU rRNA
Rfam family: Bacterial small subunit ribosomal RNA
Source: RNAcentral
AAAAUAGAGAGUUUGAUGAUGGCUCUAACUGAACACUGUCCAAGCACUUGACACAUGCUAAUCGAACGACUAAUUAGUUUAAUUAUUAUCUAAUAUUUAAAUUAAGUAGUAGUGGUGUACAGGUGAGUAAAAGAUAAAUUGGCUACCUUAAAGUAAGGGAAAAAAUCCCUUAUAACCAAAGGUUAAUAUUACCGCUUUAAGAUGAUAAUUUUUAUCUCGGUGAGUAGUAGGAAAGGUAAUGACUUUUCUAGCAAUAAACCGUAAUCGUAACUGGAAAGUUGAUCGACCACAUUGGGUCUGAAAAAAACCCAAUGCUUUUAUGUACAGCAGUGAGGAAUAUUGGUCAAUGGCCGAAAGGCUGAACCAGUAACUUGGAAGAAUGUCUAUGUAACUUGUAUGGUUACAUUCGCGAUUAACUCGCAUAAAAUUCUAAAUAGAUUGUAUAUUAUGACAUAAUCUAUUUAUAAGUCUUGACCAAACUACGUGCCAGCAGUCCGCGGUAAUACGUAGGAGGCUAGGGUUAGUUAUCUUUAUUGGGUUUAAAGGUAAGUAACGGUAAUUAACCUUAACGAGUACUUUUACUAGAGUUUGUGAACAAGGACAUUCUGGAGUUACAUAAAAUUGUGAUUCGGAGGCGUCACGGAAGCUCUCUUUUAUACGACUUAAAAAAGGUGGUACACCGGUUAUCCUAUUCCCCGAGACGAAGGCUUGGGUAGCAAACAGGAUUAGAUACCCUAAUAGUCCAAGCAGACAAUGAUGAAUGUCAUACAUUAGAUAUAAUUUUAAUGUAUAAACGAAAGUGUAAGCAUUCCACCUCAAGAGUACUAUGGCAACAUAUAAACUGAAAUCAUUAGACCGUUUCUAAAACCAGUAGUGAAGUAUGUUAUUUAAUUCGAUGAUCCGCGAAAAACCUUACCACAGCUUGUAUAGCAUAUUAUAAAAAAUUGUUACAAGCGCUGCAUGGCUGUCUUUAGUUAAUGCCGUGAGAUUUGGUUAAUUCCUUUAAUUAACGAAAACCCUCACUUUAUUUAUUUAUAUAAAGUGGUUCGCUACUACAUCGGACCAGAUAAUAGGGAUUAAGACAAGUCAUUAUGGCCUUAAUGCUGUGGGCUAUAGACGUGCCACAUACGCCUUUACAACGGGAUGCGAUAUUGUGAAAUGGAGCUAAUCCCCAAAAAAGGAAAUAAUAUGGAUUGUAGUCUGUAACUCGACUACAUGAAAAAGGAAUUACUAGUAAUCGUGAAUCACCAACGUCACGGUGAAUUUUAUCUUAGUUAGGUACUAACCACUCGUCAGGCGCUGAAAAAAGAAGAUGCAGUAAGUUUGAUUUUUUCUGUGUAAAGUUAUAUAUAUUUAUGAUAUAUAAAUAUGCAGGAUAGUUUUCGUAUGCAAAACUUUGAUUGGUGUUAAGUCGAAAUAAGGUUCGUGUAAUGGAAAUUGCACGAGGAGUACAAAA